CCCCGAAACUAAGCGAGCUACUCCAGAGCAACUGACAGAACCAACCCGCCCCCGUUGCAAAAGGGUGGGAAGACUUUAGAGUAGAAGUGACACACCUAUCGAGCUUAGAGAUAGCUGGUUAUUCAAGAAAAGGAUUUUAGUCCAUCUUUAAGUUUUUUAAGUACCAUUAAACACCCAACAAACUUAAAAGUUAUUCAAAUAAGGGACAGCCUAUUUGAAAAAGGACACAACCUACAAUCUAGGGUAACGAUCCCCCCGUGGCCAAGUCAGCCUAAAAGCAGCUAACUUCCAGAAAGCGUCCAAGCUUCACCACAAACCCUUACUAAUUCCACAAUUAAUCCAUAACCCACAACCACUACAGAAUAAUCUCAUACUAUAUGAGAAAUAUUAUGCUAGAACUAGUAACAAGAAGAAGAACUUCUCCAAAAUGUAAGCGUAAGCCAUAAUGAACACCCACCGGCAUUUACCGCCACAAACGAAGUAUCAACAUUACAAGAAAAUCAUACUUCAACUGACGUUAACCUUACACUAGAACAUUUCCAGAAAGAU
RNAcentral lists this ribosomal RNA (549 nucleotides) under Platypelis tuberifera (Ambatoharanana giant treefrog). Its description in RNAcentral is "partial 16S ribosomal RNA". The stretch from base 2 to 118 matches the Rfam family "Bacterial large subunit ribosomal RNA", at positions 714 to 852 of the family's 2925-position model. The record is from RNAcentral. Lineage: Eukaryota; Metazoa; Chordata; Amphibia; Anura; Microhylidae.